GACGAACGCUGGCGGCGUGCUUAACACAUGCAAGUCGAACGGUAAGGCCCUUCGGGGUACACGAGUGGCGAACGGGUGAGUAACACGUGGGUGAUCUGCCCUGCACUUCGGGAUAAGCCUGGGAAACUGGGUCUAAUACCGGAUAGGACCACUGCCUGCAUGGGUGGUGGUGGAAAGCUUUUGCGGUGUGGGAUGGGCCCGCGGCCUAUCAGGUUGUUGGGGGGGUGAUGGCCUACCAAGGCGACGACGGGUAGCCGGCCUGAGAGGGUGACCGGCCACACUGGGACUGAGAUACGGCCCAGACGCCUACGGGAGGCAGCAGUGGGGGAUAUUGCACAAUGGGCGCAAGCCUGAUGCAGCGACGCCGCGUGAGGGAUGACGGCCUUCGGGUUGUAAACCUCUUUCAGCACCGACGAAGCGCAAGUGACGGUAGGUGCAGAAGAAGGACCGGCCAACUACGUGCCAGCCGCCGCCGUAA
Molecule: ribosomal RNA, 478 nt
Filed under: uncultured bacterium
Lineage: Bacteria
Description: partial 16S ribosomal RNA
Rfam family: Bacterial small subunit ribosomal RNA
Source: RNAcentral